RNAcentral lists this ribosomal RNA (253 nucleotides) under uncultured bacterium. RNAcentral's name for it is "partial 16S ribosomal RNA". It matches the Rfam family "Bacterial small subunit ribosomal RNA", at positions 524 to 776 of the family's 1533-position model. The record is from RNAcentral.
UACGUAGGGUGCGAGCGUUGCCCGGAUUUAUUGGGCGUAAAGGGUGCGUAGGCGGGUCUUUAAGUCAGGGGUGAAAUCCUGGAGCUCAACUCCAGAACUGCCUUUGAUACUGAGGAUCUUGAGUUCGGGAGAGGCGAGUGGAACUGCGAGUGUAGAGGUGAAAUUCGUAGAUAUUCGCAAGAACACCAGUGGCGAAGGCGGCUCACUGGCCCGAUACUGACGCUGAGGCACGAAAGCGUGGGGAGCAAACAGG